UGACAAGGGCAGGUACCUCAAUCCCAC
Molecule: non-coding RNA, 27 nt
Filed under: Mus musculus (house mouse)
Lineage: Eukaryota; Metazoa; Chordata; Mammalia; Rodentia; Muridae
Source: RNAcentral